RNAcentral lists this transfer RNA (88 nucleotides) under Mycolicibacterium obuense. Its description in RNAcentral is "tRNA-Thr". Lineage: Bacteria; Bacillati; Actinomycetota; Actinomycetes; Mycobacteriales; Mycobacteriaceae. The record is from RNAcentral.
CGGCGGCUGGGCAGGGUCGGUGCUGCCGCGUCGUCGGCGGCGGGACGGGCGGUCACCCGACGGAUGUUCGGCGCACCCGCACUCGCCC